UUCUCUUCCUCAUUCAAUACAGAUGAGUGAAGGCGAGAGCGGCGUGUGUGUUUCUUCAACCCUUCUCCCGUUAUUUUUCCCCUUUUUAAGUCCAUCUCAAGUCAUCCUGCAAUCUGAACCAGCAAGGUAAAAGCCCCAGAGAGGUUUACCCUUGGGACCGGAACCACCCCUCACCUCAGGACCUUUACCUACCAUGGACCAAAUACAUCACUCACAGAUGCUCAAUACCUGCCCAGAAUCUCAAGUUGUUUUUGUUAACCUGCUGGAUAUCAAACACAAGAUCAGGUUGGAUUUUGAUGCUCUUCACUGAUGUACUUCACAUAGCCCUUGGACUUCAAGAACAAAAGGCACUCUGUAAAGGUGACAGGAAUCACAAAAAGGAAUCUUCUCACCCUGCUUUCCUGCCAAGCAAGAAGUUUAGUGAACACGUCCAGCACUAAUCUCAGCGCCAUUAUGAGCGCUGCAGGAAUAAAAGAGUAGUAAGAGAGUGGAUGAAAAGCAGGGAGGGCUUUUGUUUCUUCUGUGCUGUGCUGUCCAUUGAUGAGGAGGUUGUUUGAGUAGAUAAGGAGAAUAAAUCCUGAGUUCUCUCUC
Long non-coding RNA from Micropterus salmoides (largemouth bass), 591 nucleotides. RefSeq lists it as uncharacterized. The transcript is spliced from 4 exons. The record is from RefSeq and is a predicted model, not a curated record. NCBI's taxonomy places the organism in Eukaryota, Metazoa, Chordata, Actinopteri, Centrarchiformes, Centrarchidae.